CGCACAUUGCGCCCCUUGGUAUUCCGGGGGGCAUGCCUGUUCGAGCGUCAUUACAACCCUCAAGCCUGGCUUGGUCUUGGGCUACGCCGUUCGUUCGGCGGGCCUUAAAAUCAGUGGCGGUGCCUCCGCGGCCCUGAGCGUAGUAAAUUUCCUCGCUUUUGGACCCGGUGGUUACUGGCCAGCAACCCCCAACUUCUUAGUUUGACCUCGGAUCAGGUAGGGAUACCCGCUGAACUUAA
RNAcentral lists this unclassified non-coding RNA (239 nucleotides) under Helotiales sp. RNAcentral's name for it is "partial contains 5.8S ribosomal RNA, internal transcribed spacer 2, and large subunit ribosomal RNA". The record is from RNAcentral. Lineage: Eukaryota; Fungi; Ascomycota; Leotiomycetes; Helotiales.